CUUGACCGAACCCAACCACAACGGACCGUCAACACGAUCCUGUCCAUACGUCGCCAACAACGCCUGCGCCUC
Non-coding RNA from Actinoplanes derwentensis, 72 nucleotides. It matches the Rfam family "ASpks TB sRNA". The record is from Rfam. Lineage: Bacteria; Bacillati; Actinomycetota; Actinomycetes; Micromonosporales; Micromonosporaceae.